RNAcentral lists this long non-coding RNA (7250 nucleotides) under Sorghum bicolor (sorghum). RNAcentral's name for it is "long non-coding RNA (SBIC_LNC017770)". Lineage: Eukaryota; Viridiplantae; Streptophyta; Magnoliopsida; Poales; Poaceae. The record is from RNAcentral.
CAACUCCCUCAGGAAUCGAAAGAACAAGUUUUGCAAGCCUCUCAAGACUCACGCAUAAACAAAACUCCACGAGUUUGUGUAUUCUGAAUUUUAACCAAGCAAGAUGUGUCCUUUCAUUGUCUAGUACAAGGGAUAUAUAUAGAUAGGGGGCGUUCAGCUUUGAAUACAUGACAGCAUGCACAUCCACUAGUGGAUUUCGUGGCUGGUUCGCGCGUCUUCUCAGCUUCUGGCAGCAGUUACUAAAAUGAGCAUAACUCUUUAUUGGGAAGUCUAAAUAAUGAACCGUUUGAUGGGCUGCAACAUAGACUUAAAGAUGCUUUCAUCCACCUGUAGAAUGCCACGUAACUCCUUGUAUUCUGUCCGUGGUGAUGCUUGGAAUUUGUACCAUGGGUCAGCCAUCUAGCUUCUGGUUGCCUUCUCAUGCAGAAGUAAUGAACCACCAUUUUAUUUAUGCACACGAUAGGCUUCUUGGUUCAGAUGUCCAAAGGCUUGAAUCCAUCUUCAUCCCAUGCUGGUUCAUACCCUCCAUCAUUCCUAAGGACAUUGAAACAAGAACUCAAAAGUAUAGGAUCAUUCAACAUAAACUGAUUAUUAAACAUAAGGUUAGCGUUCACCUGAGAAUGAAUUUCCUUCUCCAAUUGUUUAGCUCUACUUCUUGUAAUUGGACCACUUAUAUCAAGUGGAGUUUCAUUUGAAGAUGAAUGAAUGCUAGGGAUGUCCUCAUCAGCCUCCCCCUCUUGAGAAGGAGUCGUCCUCGACUCAGGCUCACCAACAAAUGGAAGCAAGUCUUUGACAUUGAAUGUUGGACUAACAUUGGAAUAUUCAGGUGGCAGCUCAAUUUUGUAUGCAUUAUCAUUUAUCUUUUUUAGAACCUUGAAUGGACCAUCACCUCUAGGUGAUAACUUACUCUUACGUUGUUGGGGAAAUCGAUCCUUGCGUAGAUGCAACCACACGAGGUCACCAGGCUGAAAUGUAACCUUCUUCUUACCUUUGUUCGCUUGCUUUGCAUAUUGUGCUGAUUUCUUCUCAAUAUUUCUUCUUGUCUCAUCAUGUAGCUUCUUGAUAAAGUUGGAUCUCUUCGCUGCAUCCAAGUUAACUUGUUCCUGUAAUGGUAAAGGCAAAAGAUCCAUGGGAGUAUGUGGCUUAAAACCAUAAACAAUUUCAAAUGGACAAAAAUUUGUUGUGGAAUGUAGUGCCCUAUUAUAAGCAAAUUCGACAUGUGGAAGACAUUCUUCCCACUGCUUCAAAUUCUUUUUUAGCACGGCACGCAGCAUGGUGGACAGGGUACGGUUGACAACUUCAGUUUGCCCAUCCGUUUGUGGGUGACAAGUGGUGGAAAAUAACAACUUCGUGCCAAGUUUAGCCCAUAAUGUCUUCCAAAAAUAGCUCAGGAAUUUUGUAUCUCGGUCUGAAACAAUAGUCUUUGGCACUCCAUGUAAACGAACAAUCUCCCUGAAAAACAAAUCAGCAACGUGUGAAGCAUCAUCGCUCUUGUGACAUGGAAUAAAAUGUGCCAUUUUUGAGAAGCGAUCAACAAUAACGAAGAUAGAGUCCCUCCCCCUCUGAGACCUUGGUAAUCCCAGAAUAAAAUCCAUGGAUAUAUCUUCCCAAGGUACAGUUGGGAUUGGUAAUGAAGUAUAGAGACCAUGGGGAUUAAGGCGGGACUUAGCUUUCAAGCAGAUUAUGCAGCGCUCGACAUGUCAUUGAACAUCACGUCGCAUAUGUGGCCAAAAGAAAUGAUCAGAGAGCAUGUCCAAUGUCUUUUUGAUGCCAAAAUGACCAGCUAAGCCACCAGCAUGUGCUUCCUGUAAAAGAACUUGACGAAUCGAGCAGGCUAGAAUGCAUAGUUUGUUAGUUCGAAAUAAAAAAUCAUCAUGUACAUAAUACUUGUCCCAGCCUUUUCCAGCAAUGCAAUGAGAGAAAGGUUCUUUAAAAUCAGAAUCAGUUGCAUAGAGUGUUUUAAUGGAUUCCAAACCAAGCACUUUUGUAUCUAAUUGUGUAACCAAACCACACCUUCUUGACAAAGCAUCUGCAACAAUGUUAUCUUUACCACGCUUAUGUUUAACAACAUACGGAAAUGUUUCUAUGAACUCGAUCCAUUUAGCAUGUCUACGAUUCAGUUUGCCUUGACUUUUUAAAUAUUUCAAAGCUUCAUGAUCAGAAUGGAUGACAAAUUCUUUAGGUAACAAAUAAUGUUGCCAAACUUCCAAAACUCGAACUAAGGCAUAAAGCUCUUUAUCAUAGACAGAAUAAUUCAGAUGUGGACCAUUUAACUUUUCAGAAAAGUAGGCAAUAGGUUUACCUUCUUGAAGUAGCACACCUCCAAUGCCAAUACCACUUGCAUCACAUUCAAUCUCAAAAGUCUUACCGAAGUUAGGUAGCUGCAGCAGUGGUGCUUCACAAAGCUUUCUUUUUAACUCUACAAAGGCUUGCUCUUGGUCAUCUCCCCAUUUGAAUGGAACAUCCUUCUUUGUCAAGUUGUUAAGUGGUGCAGCGAUCGUGCUGAAAUCUUUAACAAAUCGUCGAUAGAAACCUGCAAGACCAUGGAAACUUCGAAUUUGGCUCACAUUUGUAGGAGUAGGCCAAUCCUUUAUUGCCUUAACCUUCUCUUCAUCAACCUGGAUGCCAUCUGCAGUCACAACAAAACCAAGAAAAACAACACGAUCUGUGCAAAAUGUGCACUUAGCAAUGUUGGCAUACAAUUUCUCUUCCCUCAAAACAGCAAGUACUUGAUGGAUAUGAUCAAGAUGUUCAUCAAAUGAUUUGCUAUAGAUCAGAAUAUCAUCAAAAUAAACAACUACAAACUUGCCAAUGAAAGCUCGUAAAACAUGAUUCAUUAAGCGCAUAAAAGUUGAAGGAGCAUUUGUCAAGCCAAAGGGCAUCACAAGCCAUUCAUACAAGCCAAAUUUGGUUGUAAAUGCUGUCUUCCAUUCAUCACCAAUUUUCAUGCGAAUUUGGUGAUAGCCACUGCGUAAAUCAAUCUUGGUGAAAAUAGUUGAGCCGCUCAAUUCAUCUAACAUGUCAUCAAGCCUAGGAAUGGGAUGGCGAUAUCUUACAGUUAUAGCAUUAAUGGCACGACAAUCGACACACAUGCGCCAAGAGCCAUCUUUCUUAGGGACCAAAAGUACUGGAACAGCACAAGGUGAUAGAGAUUCACGAACAUACCCUUUGUCGAAAAGCUCUUUUACCUGUCGCUGAAUUUCUUUGGUUUCUUCAGGAUUAGCACGGUAGGCUGGACGAUUGGGAAGAGAAGCUCCAGGUACCAAAUCGAUUUGAUGCUCAAUACCACGGAGUGGAGGAAGGCCAGCUGGUACCUCAUCAGGAAAAACAUCUUCAAAGUCCUGUAAGAGAUCAAGAACAGCACUAGGCAGCGAUGAAGGUAAAUCGUUAGUUGAAAGUAGGACCUCCUUGUGCAAGAGCACAAAGAAUGGGGCUGUGGUGUUCCUCACUUCUCUCAAAUCACUCCUGCUCACAAAUAAGCACUCAUUUUGGUGGUGUUGUUUUGUAGUGGAAAGAGGCUUUAUGUGGCUAGAUUGGUUAGAAGUCUCUCCCUUACUAGUGUUGGCAGCCUCACUCAAUUUUCUUUUGUCAGAUUCUUCUUUUUUCAUGCGAGCCACAUCUGAAGCAUAGAUCUCUUCUGGAGAUAAUGGAACAAGAACCACCUUCUUGUCGUUGUGGAUGAAAGUAUACUUGUUAGACCGCCCAAAGUGCACCGAAUCCACAUCAAACUGCCAUGGACGACCCAACAGCAAAUGGCAUGCUUGCAUGGGUACAAUAUCACAAUCAACCUCACCAUGAUAGUCACCAAUGGAGAAAGACAAACGAACCAUGGAUGAGACCUUCACUGUCCCUGAAUUAUUCAGCCACUGCAUAUGGUAAGGGUGUGGAUGGCGGCGUGUUGGUAGGCCAAGCUUCUCAACAAGCAAGGCACUAACAAUAUUAUUGCAGCUCCCACCAUCUAUGAUGAAACGACACACUUGACCUUUCACUUUGCAUCGGGACUGAAACAAAUUAUGACGUUGUCCUUGUUCAGCAGCAACAAACUGAGUGGAAAGAACUCUUCUAACCACCAAAUAAGGAGAUGAUCUAUUCAUUUUAGAAGGCUCCAAAUCAGGAAAAUCAGCAAGCAACUCAUCAAAAUCAGCACUAGUAAUCUCAUUAGAAUAUGGAGAAAUAACAUCUUCUAUCAUGUCACUGGGAGCAAAAGUUAGAAUAGGUUGAAUAGCUAAACAAUUCAGACCUAGCUCAAAAGUACCAUCCUCAGUUGAAUACUCACAAGUGUCAAGAGUAUGAUCUGCAAAGACAUUGUGAAACUCGUCCUCCUCUUCACUUUGUGAAUCAUAUGAACCAUCAGCAAGGGCAAUAAUCGUACGACGAUUGGGACAUUCAGCUUGCUUAUGCCCAUGACCACCACACUUAAAACACUCAAUCUUGCUUGUAUGCCUUGGGGCUGCAGUAGCAGAGGAGCUGGACUGAGUAGAGCUUACAGCUUUGCCUUUGGAAUCAAAAUGUUUGGAAGAAGUUGCACGAGAUGUAGGUGUGUGCACCCCUGACCCGUGCUGCUGUGACUGGCGCCAUGAAGUAGCACUAUUAUGAGCUGAAAAUGAAGCACGAUCUUUAUAAGAUCCAGCAAGUUGUCGUUCUACCCUUUUUGCAAAAUGUACCAACUCAGUGAGACAUGUGUAGUUUGUCAUAUCCACUUUAUCAGCAAUGGGCUUAUUGAGGCCAACCAGAAAUCGAGCCAUUGUGGAUUCCUCAUCUUCAGUUAUCCCUGUACGAAGUAAACACAUUUCCAAUUCUUGAAAAUAUUCAUCAACAGUACGAGUACCUUGCACAAGACGUUUUAGCUUCAAAUGUAGAUCACGAGAGUAAUAUGCAGGAACAAAACGACGUCGCAUUUCCCUCUUCAUGUCUUCCCAAGUAAUACGAUCAUGUCCAGCGCGUCGGAGUUCAGUACACACUUGAUUCCACCAAGUGAUUGCAUAGCCUGAAAACUCAAUUGCAGCAAGCUUUGCUUUCUUGACAGGAGGAUAAGGAUACAAAUCAAAGAUCUGUUCAACCUUAGUCUCCCACUCAAAAUAAUCAUCAGCACUUUCUUUUCCAUUAAAUUUUGGAAUAGACACUUUCACUUUGCUUAAACCAUCAUCAUCAAGGCGACGGUGGCGGUCACGAUAACCACGAUGGCCACCAUGGCGAUGAUCAUCCAUGUCAGUCAACAUAUCAUCAUUACCAUCAUAAUCUCGUCCACCUCGAACAGGAAUGCGCCGAGCACGACCAAAAUUAAGAAGACCAUGACCACGCCCGCCACGUCCACGACCAGCGGGACGACGCGGUGGCUCAUCCUCCUCGUCAAUAUCAUCAUCCUCAUUUGGUGGCGGUUCUCGACGUGGUAUGUUCAAUUGGAGAGUUUGGAGCUGCUGCACCAAAUCAUUCAUUUGUGUACGCAACUCCUGAAAUUCCUCCACCGAAACAGCGGCACCAUCUCCACGUCCUGCCAUGUUAGUAGAGGAAAAAAAAGGACAAUAUAUAUGUGGAAUCACUCCCUCACCACUUACAAAACAAGUUCUUUCUCUCCCUGAAAAGAGCAAGAACCGGGGCUGCGAUCUGUAGGGAAGAGUGAUUGUAACAGCGACGACGGUGCAACAACUCACGGUGCUUUAAGUGGAGCUUGGUGGGGUAAUAUGUUAGUGGAAUGCACUGAAAUGUAGUGAUGCAAAACCAAAUAAUAAUCCAAGAACAGAAGUCUAAGUUGCUGAAUAUAAAGGAAAGGAUGCACAAAGAAAGGAAUGAGAUGUAGUAAGUGGACAGAUGAUCACCAAUUUGCACCAACCGAGAACUUGUUGCUGCCCAAACCCCUUUUUGGUGUGCUGCACACAGUUCUCUUUUUGUUUUUCUUGCUUUUUUUUUCUCUUUUUUUUGGAACAAAAACUCGUUUUCAGUCCUUCUUUUGACCCAUAGACAUCAUUUCUUUUAACCUCUGUGUCAAACGCAGCACAACUUUCAACUAAAGGGGAUCACUAAGAUGGAUGGUGCAGCACAAAAACAAGAAACUGCGGUGGGGAAUAUGUGGCGGUUAGAAAACAAGGGUGGGAUGGGUGGGUAUUUUUUUUUGUUUAUAUAUACGCAGCAAGCAAUGAUGAUCAGAUCAAGGGUGGGAUGGAUGGGUACAUGCAGCAAGCAAUUUGAUGAUUAGAACAAAGAUAAUAACUAGAACAAUGUGGAAAAGAAAAAUUCAGCAACUAGACAAAUAUUAAAGGAUUAAAACUCGAUAAAGCAAACUACAAAAUCAGUAGCACAUAUGAAUUUGGGCUGUAGGUUUUCUUUUUGGCUCUCAGUGGACAGUAGGUAUUUAAACUCUAUCCUACCAAAAUCAAGAACAAUCCUACCGAGGAAACGAAGGCUUUGGUACCAGAUGAUAUGCUCACGCCUAGGGAUAGCGUGAGACAAGUCGUUGUGGCCCGAUCUUCUCGUAGGAUUCGCGAACUUGAUAACUUGUCGCUGCGUGACCUGGUGAAGAGGCAGUGCACCGCGAGGCUGUCCACGCGACGAACUACCGAGACAAUCACCCUUCCACGUACCGACGAACAGCCCACGCAAUCACGCCGUAUAGACGUGAAGGCACAAACUGGAUGAACCGCAGUUCGGCGUUCUACAACUCCCUCAGGAAUCGAAAGAACAAGUUUUGCAAGCCUCUCAAGACUCACGCAUAAACAAAACUCCACGAGUUUGUGUAUUCUGAAUUUUAACCAAGCAAGAUGUGUCCUUUCAUUGUCUAGUACAAGGGAUAUAUAUAGAUAGGGGCGUUCAGCUUUGAAUACAUGACAGCAUGCACAUCCACUAGUGGAUUUCGUGGCUCGUUCGCGCGUCUUCUCAGCUUCUGGCAGCAGUUACUAAAAUGAGCAUAACUCUUUAUUGGGAAGUCUAAAUAAUGAACCGUUUGAUGGGCUGCAACAUAGACUUAAAGAUGCUUUCAUCCACCUGUAGAAUGCCACGUAACUCCUUGUAUUCUGUCCGUGGUGAUGCUUGGAAUUUGUACCAUGGGUCAGCCAUCUAGCUUCUGGUUGCCUUCUCAUGCAGAAGUAAUGAACCACCAUUUUAUUUAUGCACACGAUAGGCUUCUUGGUUCAGAUGUCCAAAGGCUUGAAUCCAUCUUCAUCCCAUGCUGGUUCAUACCCUCCAUCAUUCCUAAGGACAUUGAAACAAGAACUCAAAAGUAUAGGAUCAUUCAACAUAAACUGAUUAUUAAACAU